AUAAUGUUUGUAUUUGAUUCAGACAUGGGCUAUUCGGCAUAAACGCGGCGCCGAGGCGCCGAAGCACGUUUCGCUUCCACAGGUUUGAAGGGUCGAAGGUCAAAAGACCAUUCGGUAAUGAUCCCUCCGCAGGUUCACCUACGGAGA
This 147-nucleotide unclassified non-coding RNA is filed under the name uncultured fungus. RNAcentral describes it as "sequence contains ITS1". Lineage: Eukaryota; Fungi. The record is from RNAcentral.